AGUGAACGCUGGCGGUAGGCCUAACACAUGCAAGUCGAACGGCAGCACAGUAAGAGCUUGCUCUUACGGGUGGCGAGUGGCGGACGGGUGAGGAACACAUCGGAAUCUACUUUUUCGUGGGGGAUAACGUAGGGAAACUUACGCUAAUACCGCAUACGACCUACGGGUGAAAGCAGGGGAUCUUCGGACCUUGCGCGAUUGAAUGAGCCGAUGUCGGAUUAGCUAGUUGGCGGGGUAAAGGCCCACCAAGGCGACGAUCCGUAGCUGGUCUGAGAGGAUGAUCAGCCACACUGGAACUGAGACACGGUCCAGACUCCUACGGGAGGCAGCAGUGGGGAAUAUUGGACAAUGGGCGCAAGCCUGAUCCAGCCAUACCGCGUGGGUGAAGAAGGCCUUCGGGUUGUAAAGCCCUUUUGUUGGGAAAGAAAAGCAGCAGGUUAAUACCCCGCUGUUCUGACGGUACCCAUAGAAUAAGCACCGGCUAACUUCGUG
This 492-nucleotide ribosomal RNA is filed under the name uncultured bacterium. RNAcentral's name for it is "partial 16S ribosomal RNA". It matches the Rfam family "Bacterial small subunit ribosomal RNA", at positions 29 to 507 of the family's 1533-position model. The record is from RNAcentral.